This 225-nucleotide long non-coding RNA is filed under the name Phoenix dactylifera (date palm). RNAcentral describes it as "long non-coding RNA (PDAC_LNC012713)". Lineage: Eukaryota; Viridiplantae; Streptophyta; Magnoliopsida; Arecales; Arecaceae. The record is from RNAcentral.
UAUCUUCUUCGCCGGAAGCCGACGCCUCAAGUGAUGCUCUCUUCCCCCCUCGCUCUAUUUGUCUCUCACCUUCCAUUACCUCUCGUCUUCUGCACCCACACCCUUUCUCCCUCCUCCGUUUCGUUCUCUCUCUGCCAUCCUUCGCUGUCUUUCCUAAUCGAUGGCGGCGCCGUGUACCAUAAUGCUUGGUCGUCCUCCACCCACACAUCCUUCUCCUCUCUCCCC